This 468-nucleotide ribosomal RNA is filed under the name uncultured bacterium. RNAcentral describes it as "partial 16S ribosomal RNA". It matches the Rfam family "Bacterial small subunit ribosomal RNA", at positions 28 to 507 of the family's 1533-position model. The record is from RNAcentral.
GACGAACGCUGGCGGCGUGCUUAACACAUGCAAGUCGAACGGAAAGGCCCUGCUUUUGUGGGGUGCUCGAGUGGCGAACGGGUGAGUAACACGUGAGUAACCUGCCCUUGACUUUGGGAUAACUUCAGGAAACUGGGGCUAAUACCGGAUAGGAGCUCCUGCUGCAUGGUGGGGGUUGGAAAGUUUCGGCGGUUGGGGAUGGACUCGCGGCUUAUCAGCUUGUUGGUGGGGUAGUGGCUUACCAAGGCUUUGACGGGUAGCCGGCCUGAGAGGGUGACCGGCCACAUUGGGACUGAGAUACGGCCCAGACUCCUACGGGAGGCAGCAGUGGGGAAUAGUGCACAAGGGGCGGAGGCCUGAUGCAGCAACGCCGCGUGCGGGAUGACGGCCUUCGGGUUGUAAACCGCUGUCGCCUGUGACGAAGCGUGAGUGACGGUAAUGGGUAAAGAAGCACCGGCUAACUACGUG